UUAAGCGACUAAGCGUACACGGUGGAUGCCCUGGCAGUCAGAGGCGAUGAAGGACGUGCUAAUCUGCGAUAAGCGUCGGUAAGGUGAUAUGAACCGUUAUAACCGGCGAUUUCCGAAUGGGGAAACCCAGUGUGUUUCGACACACUAUCAUUAACUGAAUCCAUAGGUUAAUGAGGCGAACCGGGGGAACUGAAACAUCUAAGUACCCCGAGGAAAAGAAAUCAACCGAGAUUCCCCCAGUAGCGGCGAGCGAACGGGGAGCAGCCCAGAGCCUGAAUCAGUGUGUGUGUUAGUGGAAGCGUCUGGAAAGGCGCGCGAUACAGGGUGACAGCCCCGUACACAAAAAUGCACAUGCUGUGAGCUCGAUGAGUAGGGCGGGACACGUGGUAUCCUGUCUGAAUAUGGGGGGACCAUCCUCCAAGGCUAAAUACUCCUGACUGACCGAUAGUGAACCAGUACCGUGAGGGAAAGGCGAAAAGAACCCCGGCGAGGGGAGUGAAAAAGAACCUGAAACCGUGUACGUACAAGCAGUGGGAGCACGCUUAGGCGUGUGACUGCGUACCUUUUGUAUAAUGGGUCAGCGACUUAUAUUCUGUAGCAAGGUUAACCGAAUAGGGGAGCCGAAGGGAAACCGAGUCUUAACUGGGCGUUAAGUUGCAGGGUAUAGACCCGAAACCCGGUGAUCUAGCCAUGGGCAGGUUGAAGGUUGGGUAACACUAACUGGAGGACCGAACCGACUAAUGUUGAAAAAUUAGCGGAUGACUUGUGGCUGGGGGUGAAAGGCCAAUCAAACCGGGAGAUAGCUGGUUCUCCCCGAAAGCUAUUUAGGUAGCGCCUCGUGAAUUCAUCUCCGGGGGUAGAGCACUGUUUCGGCAAGGGGGUCAUCCCGACUUACCAACCCGAUGCAAACUGCGAAUACCGGAGAAUGUUAUCACGGGAGACACACGGCGGGUGCUAACGUCCGUCGUGAAGAGGGAAACAACCCAGACCGCCAGCUAAGGUCCCAAAGUCAUGGUUAAGUGGGAAACGAUGUGGGAAGGCCCAGACAGCCAGGAUGUUGGCUUAGAAGCAGCCAUCAUUUAAAGAAAGCGUAAUAGCUCACUGGUCGAGUCGGCCUGCGCGGAAGAUGUAACGGGGCUAAACCAUGCACCGAAGCUGCGGCAGCGACACUAUGUGUUGUUGGGUAGGGGAGCGUUCUGUAAGCCUGUGAAGGUGUGCUGUGAGGCAUGCUGGAGGUAUCAGAAGUGCGAAUGCUGACAUAAGUAACGAUAAAGCGGGUGAAAAGCCCGCUCGCCGGAAGACCAAGGGUUCCUGUCCAACGUUAAUCGGGGCAGGGUGAGUCGACCCCUAAGGCGAGGCCGAAAGGCGUAGUCGAUGGGAAACAGGUUAAUAUUCCUGUACUUGGUGUUACUGCGAAGGGGGGACGGAGAAGGCUAUGUUGGCCGGGCGACGGUUGUCCCGGUUUAAGCGUGUAGGCUGGUUUUCCAGGCAAAUCCGGAAAAUCAAGGCUGAGGCGUGAUGACGAGGCACUACGGUGCUGAAGCAACAAAUGCCCUGCUUCCAGGAAAAGCCUCUAAGCAUCAGGUAACAUCAAAUCGUACCCCAAACCGACACAGGUGGUCAGGUAGAGAAUACCAAGGCGCUUGAGAGAACUCGGGUGAAGGAACUAGGCAAAAUGGUGCCGUAACUUCGGGAGAAGGCACGCUGAUAUGUAGGUGAAGCGACUUGCUCGUGGAGCUGAAAUCAGUCGAAGAUACCAGCUGGCUGCAACUGUUUAUUAAAAACACAGCACUGUGCAAACACGAAAGUGGACGUAUACGGUGUGACGCCUGCCCGGUGCCGGAAGGUUAAUUGAUGGGGUCAGCGCAAGCGAAGCUCUUGAUCGAAGCCCCGGUAAACGGCGGCCGUAACUAUAACGGUCCUAAGGUAGCGAAAUUCCUUGUCGGGUAAGUUCCGACCUGCACGAAUGGCGUAAUGAUGGCUAGGCUGUCUCCACCCGAGACUCAGUGAAAUUGAACUCGCUGUGAAGAUGCAGUGUACCCGCGGCAAGACGGAAAGACCCCGUGAACCUUUACUAUAGCUUGACACUGAACAUUGAGCCUUGAUGUGUAGGAUAGGUGGGAGGCUUGGAAGUGUGGACGCCAGUCUGCAUGGAGCCGACCUUGAAAUACCACCCUUUAAUGUUUGAUGUUCUAACGUUGACCCGUAAUCCGGGUUGCGGACAGUGUCUGGUGGGUAGUUUGACUGGGGCGGUCUCCUCCUAAAGAGUAACGGAGGAGCACGAAGGUUGGCUAAUCCUGGUCGGACAUCAGGAGGUUAGUGCAAUGGCAUAAGCCAGCUUGACUGCGAGCGUGACGGCGCGAGCAGGUGCGAAAGCAGGUCAUAGUGAUCCGGUGGUUCUGAAUGGAAGGGCCAUCGCUCAACGGAUAAAAGGUACUCCGGGGAUAACAGGCUGAUACCGCCCAAGAGUUCAUAUCGACGGCGGUGUUUGGCACCUCGAUGUCGGCUCAUCACAUCCUGGGGCUGAAGUAGGUCCCAAGGGUAUGGCUGUUCGCCAUUUAAAGUGGUACGCGAGCUGGGUUUAGAACGUCGUGAGACAGUUCGGUCCCUAUCUGCCGUGGGCGCUGGAGAACUGAGGGGGGCUGCUCCUAGUACGAGAGGACCGGAGUGGACGCAUCACUGGUGUUCGGGUUGUCAUGCCAAUGGCACUGCCCGGUAGCUAAAUGCGGAAGAGAUAAGUGCUGAAAGCAUCUAAGCACGAAACUUGCCCCGAGAUGAGUUCUCCCUGACUCCUUGAGAGUCCUGAAGGAACGUUGAAGACGACGACGUUGAUAGGCCGGGUGUGUAAGCGCAGCGAUGCGUUGAGCUAACCGGUACUAAUGAACCGUGAGGCUUAACCUU
Molecule: ribosomal RNA, 2901 nt
Filed under: Escherichia coli
Lineage: Bacteria; Pseudomonadati; Pseudomonadota; Gammaproteobacteria; Enterobacterales; Enterobacteriaceae
Description: bacterial LSU rRNA
Rfam family: Bacterial large subunit ribosomal RNA
Source: RNAcentral